GUCUACGUGGCGAAACUGGCAAACGCGGCGGUCUUAGAAACCGUUUUGAUGGGGGUUCGAAUCCCUCCGUGGACA
This 75-nucleotide transfer RNA is filed under the name Polyangium mundeleinium. RNAcentral's name for it is "tRNA-Leu". It matches the Rfam family "tRNA". From Rfam's summary of the family: Transfer RNA (tRNA) molecules are approximately 80 nucleotides in length. Lineage: Bacteria; Pseudomonadati; Myxococcota; Polyangiales; Polyangiaceae. RNAcentral also lists the same sequence under 1 other name. The record is from RNAcentral.